GGAGUUAGCCGGUGCUUCUUCUGUGAGUGAUGUCCUUCCUGCCGGCUAUUAACCCGCAGGCCUUCUUCCUCACUGAAAGUGCUUUACAACCCGAAGGCCUUCUUCACACACGCGGCAUGGCUGGAUCAGGGUUGCCCCCAUUGUCCAAUAUUCCCCACUGCUGCCUCCCGUAGGAGUCUGGGCCGUGUCUCAGUCCCAGUGUGGCUGAUCAUCCUCUCAGACCAGCUACGGAUCGUCGCCUUGGUGAGCCGUUACCUCACCAACCAGCUAAUCCGACAUAGGCUCAUCCGAUAGCGCGAGGCCCGAAGGUCCCCCGCUUUCCCCCGUAGGGCGUACUGCGGUAUUAGCCUGGGUUUCCCCAGGUUAUCCCCCACUACCCGGGCAGAUUCCUAUGCAUUACUCACCCGUCCGCCGCUCGCCACCAGGGAGCAAGCUCCCCGUGCUGCCGCUCGACUUGCAUGUGUUAGGCCUGCCGCCAGCGUUCAAUCUGAGCCAGGAUCAAACUCUGA
Molecule: ribosomal RNA, 509 nt
Filed under: uncultured bacterium
Lineage: Bacteria
Description: partial 16S ribosomal RNA
Source: RNAcentral